CCUGAUGCGGUUCCCCUCAUAGCCUCAUGGCUUCAGCUCCUUCAGCACACUUUUACUCAGCUGUCACGUAGCAUGCAGAGUCUCAGGAUUAUUCCGCCUGUCUUCUGGUCUGCUUUGUAUCUCAUCAUGCUCCUCAACAUCCUGCUCACUGUUCCCUGUAAGCUCCUGGUCUAGUUGCCCCCUUCCUGGAUGGGAAUACCUCUCAAAAGACAAAUUUCUAACUACAGAGGUGCGCUCUAUAGAUCAGCUGGACUGGACUUUUUCACACUUCGUCUGGGAACCAUGCAUGAUUCAUAAGCUGUCAGAAGGUGGUUGAUGGAACAGGCCACCAAAAUUCAGUAUCAAACGUACGUGCAUCUUUCCAUGCAUGCAAGUGAGAAAACAAGCAAGUUCAUGAAAGGAAACCUAGUAAAGAGAUACUCAGAUCUGAACCUAAGGCUUUCUCUUUGUAAAAGGAAAUCAGCGUGGGUGCAUGACAAGAAAAAAAGCCCUUAAUUUUACCUGAGGUGGUUAUGUAGCCCUUGGAUAAGACAAAAGAGAAUUGGGCUAAGUGAUCUCCAGGGUCCCUUCCAGGCCCACACUUCUGCAGCCAUACAACACAGCAUGUGCUCGCUUCAUUUCACCUAACACUCAGCGUCUACAGUACAGAUGUUUACACUGAGCUGGGCUCCCUGCGUUAUCAGUGGGAAACAGGCCCUGCUAGGAGAGCAAGCCUUGCUCCGGCUUUUGAGGUUGCAAAUAUGCAUUUAUCCAACAUUUCCUCAGAUCUAAUUAUGUAUAUGACUGUGAUCCUACUUUCCUUGUGGAGAAAAACUCCCACUAACAUUAAUGGGUAUUUUUUUCCUUAGGAAGGUGCACAAGAUACAGCCCUUAGAUUACGGGGGGGGGGAAAUGCAAUUUCAAUAUAAGUCAAGAGUGUUUGGUUUAGCUCCGAGUGCCUUGUGAGAAGAACAGAACUAAAAUUCACCUCAGGGCAUCCAAAGAUAACAAAUGUAAUUUCAAGAGAAAGCAUAGGGAUCUGCAGUUGCAGCAGACUGUGUUUUGUGUGUUUGCAUUGUGCAAGGUUCUGUUCUUUGCUUAGCAGCAUGACCUAUUUCCCAGCAUCAUGUGAUUUUUGUAUUGGAAGACUCUUCUGUAAAGAGGUAGAAUUAAUUUUCCAGUGGAAAAGAUAUAAAUCUGAUUGUCCUUAAUUCUGCCCAAUAAAAUAGCAUAACAUUGCA
Non-coding RNA from Phalacrocorax carbo (great cormorant), 1220 nucleotides. The record is from RefSeq and is a predicted model, not a curated record. NCBI's taxonomy places the organism in Eukaryota, Metazoa, Chordata, Aves, Suliformes, Phalacrocoracidae.